CCCUUAGAUGUUCUGGGCCGCACGCGCGCUACAAUGAUGAAUUCAACGAGUUUACAACCUUGGUCGAGAGGCCUGGGUAAUCUUUUCAACUUUCAUCGUGAUGGGGCUAGAUUCUUGCAAUUUUUGAUCUCCAACGAGGAAUUCCUAGUAAACGCAAGUCAUCAACUUGCAUUGAUUACGUCCCUGCCCUUUGUACACACCGCCCGUCGCACCUACCGAUUGAAUGGUCCGGUGAAAUCUUCGGAUUGUGGCUUUGACUUGUUCAUUCAAGACGUUGCUGUGAAAAGUUGAUUAAACCUUACCAUUUAGAGGAAGGUGAAGUCGUAACA
Molecule: ribosomal RNA, 329 nt
Filed under: uncultured eukaryote
Lineage: Eukaryota
Description: partial 18S ribosomal RNA
Rfam family: Eukaryotic small subunit ribosomal RNA
Source: RNAcentral